This 60-nucleotide transfer RNA is filed under the name Camelus bactrianus (Bactrian camel). It matches the Rfam family "tRNA", at positions 6 to 65 of the family's 71-position model. From Rfam's summary of the family: Transfer RNA (tRNA) molecules are approximately 80 nucleotides in length. Their secondary structure includes four short double-helical elements and three loops (D, anti-codon, and T loops). Further hydrogen bonds mediate the characteristic L-shaped molecular structure. tRNAs have two regions of fundamental functional importance: the anti-codon, which is responsible for specific mRNA codon recognition, and the 3' end, to which the tRNAs corresponding amino acid is attached (by aminoacyl-tRNA synthetases). tRNAs cope with the degeneracy of the genetic code in two manners: having more than one tRNA (with a specific anti-codon) for a particular amino acid; and 'wobble' base-pairing, i.e. permitting non-standard base-pairing at the 3rd anti-codon position. RNAcentral also lists the same sequence under 1 other name. Lineage: Eukaryota; Metazoa; Chordata; Mammalia; Artiodactyla; Camelidae. The record is from Rfam by way of RNAcentral.
UAUAGCUCAGUGGUAGAGCCCGGCCUAGCAAGCACGAGGUCCUGGGUUCAAUCCCCAGUA